RNAcentral lists this signal recognition particle RNA (299 nucleotides) under Microcebus murinus (gray mouse lemur). RNAcentral describes it as "Metazoan signal recognition particle RNA (ENSMICG00000043225.1)". It matches the Rfam family "Metazoan signal recognition particle RNA". Rfam says of the family: The signal recognition particle (SRP) is a universally conserved ribonucleoprotein. It is involved in the co-translational targeting of proteins to membranes. The record is from RNAcentral. Lineage: Eukaryota; Metazoa; Chordata; Mammalia; Primates; Cheirogaleidae.
GCCGGACGCGGUGGCGCGCGCCUGUAGUCCCAGCUACUCGGGAGGCUGAGAUGGGAGGAUCGCUUGAGCCCAGGAGUUCUGGGCUGUAGUGCGCUAUGCCGAUCGGGUGUCCGCACUAAGUUCGGCAUCAAUAUGGUGACCUCCCGGGAGCGGGGGACCACCAGGUUGCCUAAGGAGGGGUGAACCGGCCCAGGUCGGAAACGGAGCAGGUCAAAACUCCCGUGCUGAUCAGUAGUGGGAUCGCGCCUGUGAAUAGCCACUGCACUCCAGCCUGGGCAACAUAGCGAGACCUCGUCUCU